This is a long non-coding RNA of Populus euphratica (Euphrates poplar), 436 nucleotides long. RefSeq lists it as uncharacterized. Lineage: Eukaryota; Viridiplantae; Streptophyta; Magnoliopsida; Malpighiales; Salicaceae. The record is from RefSeq and is a predicted model, not a curated record. The transcript is spliced from 3 exons.
UGACUUCACCUUUGCACUGAUUUUCAAGCCCUUAAAUCGGAAGAAAAUUAUCUUCGAAUUCAGGAUAAUGCAUUGACUGGAACACUCAUCUGUGGAUGUUGCCACCAAAGAGAAUUUGCAGAAUCUUGUGAAAGUGGGUGAAGAAUUGUUGAAGAAAUCAGUGUCAAGAGUUAAUUUAGGCACUGGAGUCUUCGAACCAAUUAAUAAGAUGACAAAUGAAGAGGCUCUCAUAAAGUUGGCUAAAUUACUCUCAAGGGAGAAGCAUCUUCGUGAGGCCAGGUCACCGGGUGGAAAUUAAAUCUACCACUUUAAAAUAAUUUGGCAAUUUGGUUCUUUGUUUCUAGAAAAUUAGUUAGAUGCUAAUAAAUUUGGAAGUAAUGAUUGUACUUAAUUGUUUAGAUUGCAAUUAAGCUUUUCUUCGAAUAAAGAUGCCAUG